AUGGUGAUGUUGUGCAUAAGUGAAGGACAAGUGGAAAUCACUCCUGUACCAACAACUAUUCAGCAAGUUUUGGACGAGUACCAGGACCUUUUUCGGGAGCCAACAGAGUUGCCACCGCACAGAGAAUGGGACCAUGCCAUACCCUUGCUACCAGGAGCAAAACCAGUGAAUCUCAGACCAUAUCGAUACACACCAGAGCAGAAGGACGAAAUUGAGGCUCAAGUUAAGGAACUGCUUGCCAAAGGGCUCAUUACCGCCAGUACCAGUCCAUUUGCGUCGCCAGUUUUGCUAGUGAAAAAGAAAGAUCAAACAUGGAGGUUGUGUGUGGAUUUCAGACACCUGAACGCGAUCACUCUAAAGGCCACAUACCCAAUGCCAAUCAUUGAGGAACUCCUGGACGAACUGGCAGGGGCCUGUUGGUUCUCCAAGAUGGACCUACGGGCUGGAUAUCACUAG
This 456-nucleotide ribosomal RNA is filed under the name Triticum aestivum (bread wheat). Its description in RNAcentral is "partial small subunit ribosomal RNA". The record is from RNAcentral. Lineage: Eukaryota; Viridiplantae; Streptophyta; Magnoliopsida; Poales; Poaceae.